RNAcentral lists this ribosomal RNA (774 nucleotides) under uncultured Neocallimastigales. RNAcentral's name for it is "partial large subunit ribosomal RNA". It matches the Rfam family "Eukaryotic large subunit ribosomal RNA", at positions 24 to 646 of the family's 3401-position model. Lineage: Eukaryota; Fungi; Neocallimastigomycota; Neocallimastigomycetes; Neocallimastigales. The record is from RNAcentral.
GUAGUCUCGCACAGAUGCAUAUCAAUAAGCGGAGGAAAAGAAACUAACAAGGAUUCCCCUAGUAACGGCGAGUGAAGCGGGAAGAGCUCAAAUUUGAAAUCUUAAAGGGUUUCCCUUUACGAAUUGUAGUUUAAAGAAGUGUUUUCUGUUGAGGUUUUGGUAAAAGUUCUUUGGAAUAGGACAUCAUAGAGGGUGAGAAUCCCGUAUUUGACCUUUACUUUCAACUUUGUGAUACACUUUCAAAGAGUCGGAUUGUUUGGGAAUGCAGUCCAAAAUGGGUGGUAAAUUUCAUCUAAAGCUAAAUAUUGGCGAGAGACCGAUAGCGAACAAGUACCGUGAGGGAAAGAUGAAAAGAACUUUGAAAAGAGAGUUAAACAGUACGUGAAAUUGUCAAAAGGGAAGCGUUUGACACCAGUGUUGUUUUUCUGAAAAUCAAUUAAAGAACUGUUUAUGCUAAGUUGUUUAGACUUUAUCAGCUAACUGUUUAGUUUUGAGCUUUUCUUUAAUGCACUUUUCAGUUAACAAGUCAACAUCAAUUUCUUUUGCUGUAAAAAAGCUUGAGGAAGGUGGCUUGAGAUUCGUCUUAAGUGUUUAUAGCCUCUUGCCUAUGCAGUCGAAGAGAUUGAGGUCUGCAGCGUAGAUCCUUCGGGGCUAAAUGCAUUUGUGCUAAGUUAUAGCAUUUCAUAGACAACUUGUUGACUAUGAUUUGUCUUGUAGCUUACUCGCUUAUGUUAUUUUACCUACGCUUAGGAUGUUGAUCUGUAGUGCGUGCGC